AUCUACGGUCAAAGAACUCAGGAAACGCCGCAUCCCGUCAGAUCUGCGAAGCUCAAGCUGAGUGUCGCUCGGGUAGUACCAACGUGGGGGACCAGUUGGGAAUACCGAGUGCUGUAGUUU
This is a ribosomal RNA of Kwoniella mangroviensis CBS 10435, 120 nucleotides long. Lineage: Eukaryota; Fungi; Basidiomycota; Tremellomycetes; Tremellales; Cryptococcaceae. The record is from Rfam.